Non-coding RNA from Parelaphostrongylus tenuis, 72 nucleotides. Lineage: Eukaryota; Metazoa; Nematoda; Chromadorea; Rhabditida; Metastrongylidae. The record is from the annotation of a GenBank genome assembly.
GCCUCUGUGGUGUAGUGGUAGAGCAUGUGUCCUCGGUAUGGAUGAGACGAGGUUCGAUUCUCGACUGAGGCC